Non-coding RNA from Camellia sinensis, 2024 nucleotides. NCBI's taxonomy places the organism in Eukaryota, Viridiplantae, Streptophyta, Magnoliopsida, Ericales, Theaceae. The record is from RefSeq and is a predicted model, not a curated record.
CCAAUCGCACACUCGCAUAGGUAUUUGUCGACCGUCAGGUUUUCGCCAUUUACCGUUGCUGUGCUACACCAUCGCCUCUUCAUUCUAGCUCGGAAAAUGCUUGGUUUUUGGGCAGGUCAUCGCAAUUUUGAAAUGAGAGCUGCACUAGCAAGUGAAUGAGAGAAUGACACAGAACUUGAUAUCCAGAACAACAGAAUAACUAGAGGCACUGGACAUUUGGUAUACCUACGGAAAUUCUAUACCACGAAGUUCUGCAUAUGCCCGGUGGUUCACAAGUCAAUAGUGAUCGCAUAGCAGACUCUAUACAUUACGGAUGUGUACCUGAUUGAUUAGCAAUGUUUGGUGGUGAACUAUUGUCCCAGGAAGGCCUCUCAUGAGAAGGAAUUGCUUCAGCUAAGGAAGGAAGGCAGAAGAAAUCAAUAUGAGCAACAUAAACUACAAGCUUUAAAUCAGCACCAGAAAAUGGUAAAGAUUUCUUUCGUACAAGUGCUUCAGUAAAAUUAUGUAGGGCCUUUCUAUUUUUAUUUUUAUUUUUAUUAUCUGUGUCUGUACACAUCACUAACUUCAUUGAACAGUAAGCCCCGGUAGCUGAUAUGCUUUGAGACUCACUUUUUAUUUCCUUAAUUAUUCUACAUUUGGAUAAUGCAUAUGAAUUAUCAGGUAAGUUUCUAGAGCCUUUGUCAGGUUUGAAGGGCGUUACGGUUUACAGGAAAUAAUUUCUCAUUAUGUUUAGUCCAAUGUUGAUGAUUGAAAUGCUUAACCAAACCCUCUCCAUCUGCUUAAGCUUUUAGAUUAGUUGUCUAACAGCAUUGCAUUUGGAUCAUCUCACCUCCUACCCUCAAACAUAGAUACAAGUACAAGAGAGUACUAGAUUUCUGCUUGCAUAACAGGUGAGGGAAACAUUUCUUGUACAUUACUGUCAGUUGAAUUGUACAAGAAAGUGCUAGUUUUGAUUUUUGAUGAAACUGGUUUUCACUGGACAAGUCCAAUCAGUACACACACACACACACAUAUAUAUAUAGUCGAGACGUGUGAAAUUGAGAUUAAUUUCUAUUCAUUAAGCUAACCCUUAUAUAUAACCUUAGGUGUGUUGCUGCUAUUGCCCAUAAGCACUACACAUUUCACACAAGAGAGCAAGAGAGAGAGAGAGAGAGAGAGAGAGAGAGAGAGAGACAGCAAUAUGUCAAUGGAGGUGUAUAAGAGAGAAAAUGUACAGGAAAUGUUGUCACCGCUCUUGUCUUUGCUCCUUUUGCUCUCCUCUUUGAAAGGUAUUCCCCUUACACCCCCCCUCUCUCUCUCUCUCUGUUCUUUGCUCUAUGAGAGAAGGUUUUAAACUAAUCAGACUAUGUUAUUGACUAUAACAAAUGUACAGGAAAGUAAGGCCAAGGAUGACCACUUCUGUCUUCUUGAAGAUAAUGUUACUGGGCUUGUUGGAGUAAUUAAUUUAUCUUUUCACCUCAAAAAGCAAAUCCUUAUAAAUUAAUUUAAUUAUGCUUUAAAGGUGAAUCUAAUGCAUGUAUGUAAUGUUUUUACUCUUAUUUUUGUGUAAUUGUAAUCAGGCUUAUGAUAGACCAGAACUUGUUCUAUACUGGAAUGAAGUACACAACAGCUACUUUUGCCACUGCCAUGUGUAACAUUGUUCCUACCAUGUUUUUGCUAAUGGCUUGGAUACUCAGCUAAAACUACCCUAUCAAAUUGUGGCUAUUGUUUUCGGUGCUUUGAAUGAUACAGCUGCAAAGAAGUAUGAUUUGGAAGGAUGGUUUCCUGCAUCGAGCACUUACAGAGAACUUGUUUCCUAUUCAAACUGCACUGACUAUCAGUCCAGGAGAUUAGAGAUUCGAUAUGCGUAGAAAAAGGGUAGACUAGUAGUUAUAUUUUUUGAUACACUAGUUAUAUUUUUGGAUGGGUGUGUAUAGAAAAUAUUUAGUAGACUACUAGUCAUAUUUUUCGGUUGAUGUACAUGGAUAAAAAUUUUAAACAUAAUAGCAAGUAUUUGUUAUGUCUUAAAUUUUUAUGUUAGAUGA